UUUGGACAUGGGGGAAACCCUGNUCCAGCCAUGCCGCGUGAGUGAUGAAGGCCUUAGGGUUGUAAAACUCUUUCGACGGGGACGAUAAUGACGGUACCCGUAGAAGAAGCUCCGGCUAACUUCGUGCCAGCAGCCGCGGUAAUACGAAGGGGGCUAGCGUUGUUCGGAAUUACUGGGCGUAAAGCGCGCGCAGGCGGCCUUCCAAGUCAGGGGUGAAAGCCCAGAGCUCAACUCUGGAANNGCCUUUGAAACUGUUAGGCUUGAGUACGGGAGAGGUGAGUGGAAUUCCCAGUGUAGAGGUGAAAUUCGUAGAUAUUGGGAAGAACACCGGUGGCGAAGGCGGCUCACUGGCCCGUAACUGACGCUCAGGCGCGACAGCGUGGGGAUCAAACAGGAUUAGAUACCCUGGUAGUCCACGCCGUAAACGAUGAACGCUAGCCGUUGGCAAGCUUGCUUGUCAGUGGCGCAGCUAACGCAUUAAGCGUUCCGCCUGGGGAGUACGGCCGCAAGGUUGAAACUCAAAGAAAUUGACGGA
This 535-nucleotide ribosomal RNA is filed under the name uncultured bacterium. Its description in RNAcentral is "bacterial SSU rRNA". It matches the Rfam family "Bacterial small subunit ribosomal RNA", at positions 363 to 917 of the family's 1533-position model. The record is from RNAcentral.